Molecule: long non-coding RNA, 175 nt
Organism: Etheostoma spectabile (orangethroat darter)
Lineage: Eukaryota; Metazoa; Chordata; Actinopteri; Perciformes; Percidae
Exons: 3
Source: RefSeq, a predicted model, not a curated record
UUUUGUACUACUCGCUACCAUUGCUCUUAAUACUACGUCAUCUUACUGCAUUCUACAUGCACCCUGAAGGGUGCUUUUUGCGUCGUAUCUGAUGCUCACAGCCACUGCCCAAGCGUCUGUAUUUUACAAGUUCGGCAUGAGAACGGGUUGGUCAGGCGUAUUGGUUGUUUGUGCU